UGGUAGGCAACAGUAGCUUGAUGUAUCC
This 28-nucleotide non-coding RNA is filed under the name Homo sapiens (human). The record is from RNAcentral. Lineage: Eukaryota; Metazoa; Chordata; Mammalia; Primates; Hominidae.